CAUGUCCCUUCUGAAAUCUUAUCCCUGUCCCACAACUUGCUGGGAUCAUGGGAUGGUGGGNUGGGAUGGUGGGAUCAUGUCCAUGUCCCUUCUGAAAUCUUAUCCCUGUCCCACAACUUGCUGGGAUCAUGGGAUGGUGGGAUCACAGGAUCAUGGCAUGGUGGGAUCUCAGGAUGAUGGGAUGGUGGGAUCACAGGAUCAUGGGAUGGUGGGAUCACAGGAUGAUGGGAUCAUGUCCAUGUCCCUUCUCCAUGGACCACCCCACAGCAUCUCCCACAACCCCCCGGGAUCCUGGGACCAUGGGAUCACGGGAUGGUGGGAUCACCUCCACCUCCCACACCACCCAUGGUCACCUCCACCCCUUUUCUCC
Molecule: long non-coding RNA, 370 nt
Filed under: Zonotrichia albicollis (white-throated sparrow)
Lineage: Eukaryota; Metazoa; Chordata; Aves; Passeriformes; Passerellidae
Description: lncRNA (ENSZALG00000002782.1)
Source: RNAcentral